GAAAUUCUGUCUAGACUGCAGCCGUAGAAUUAGGAGUAAAGAACGUCUAGAGUUACCCCGUAGAAUUAGGACUCAAAAAAGAGAAUUCGAUGGUGAUCAAGUUGAAGUGAAGGUCAUCUGGGUCCUAGAAAAAUUCUUCUAGAUCCUAGAAAAAUUUGUCUAAGAAAGGAGCUAGAAGCGAAAUAAGUGAAGGAAGGCAUGUGCCACAUCUGAAACUUUGUCUAUGUUUGCCAGAUCAUAUUAUCUAGGCCAGUGAUAAUAUGAUCUGGCGCACUGGCCGAAAAUUUGGGCCGGUCGCAUCCUGUGCGUCCGCUUCGCUUACUGCCAACCGUCAGAUCGAAAGCUCUUUGCCCCCCGCAUCUCGCAUCUGAACACACAUGGGAGAAAAAAAAGAAAAAAAGGAGAGGAUGCAGCCCAGAUCGCCGAAAUCCAUUGCCUCGCUGUCCCCGCCCGCGCAGCCGCCGGAGUCCCGCGUCUCCGGCGGCCCCUCCACGGCCACCGCCAUCAUCGUCGACUGCAGCUCCCCGCUUCUCUUCGCAACUUGAAGUAGAAGUCGUUGUGCGCCCUCCUCAUCUCGUCGUCGUUCCAACACCGCGUCUUGCCAGAUGCAACUCUGAACAAAAGUCGGUCCAUCAAAUUACGCAGCCCAUCAUAGCACGGCGACGCCAUCUUCGGCUCGCCACCGUCGUUGACCUGCACCACCUAAUUUCAGCGAAAACCAAAACUCAGCUCAAAAAUAUAGUUGAAACAAAAUCAAAAAACGGUUCCAGCAAAAAGUAACUUAGGUUCCAGCAAAACAACCCCAGUGCUAGAAAAUUAGGUAAACUAAUUGAAGCAAAAAUUUACCACUGUUCCAGCAAAAUCAAACUCUGGUUCAGCAAAACCAAAACUGAGCAAGUAGGAAUCAUGGUUCUUGCAAAACCAAAACUGAGCAAGUAGGAAAUUUAGAUAAAAACAUGUUUGAAACAAAAAUUUACCUGUUUCCAGUAAAAAAAAAACACCUCCGGUUCCAGCAAAAAUAAUCGCAUCUCAACGUCCAACCUUGUAGCUCCACCAAAAGCCGGUUGCAACUCCGUUGUCGAGGGGCGCAGCUGAUUGCAGCCGCCCUCGCCGCUGUAUGCAGCUCUUAUGCUCCGCGUUGCAGUCGCCGCCGCCCGGCGUCGAUGGAUGCAGCUCGACCAAAUAGAUGGUUGCAGCUCCGCCAAUCGCCGAUUGAAGCUCUGUGGCCCCUAAUUUGUUGCUAGGUGUGGCGCCUCGAGCUGGAAAUAAAGCAUGGCAGCUCGGCCAUGGCCAUGGCGUUGGAUGCUUUGAGGUGAAUGCAUUUUUGGGAGGAGGGAGAAGGCACUGGAAGCGGUGGGGAUAAGGAAAGAGGAUAAAGUAGCGAAGCGAUGUGGCUCGGCUCGGCUCGAUAGGUCAAGGACGCGUGGCCCGCGUGGACCCGCCUGCUCGCGUAGCUAGCGAGGUGACCGGCUCAAACUUUGGGCCGACGCCCCGGCUCUAAACACUUUCCUAUUAUCUAUUUCCUUGUGUUUGAUCUAUUCAUGCCAUUUUAUUUGAAUUGUACUUGGGUGAGUGGGAAACCAAGAAUACUCCCUCCGUCACAGUUUAGAAGACACAGUUAAAUUUGUGUGCGUUUCCACAAUAAACAAGGUUUAGGGUGCAUUGCAUUUAUUUCUAGUAGCUAAGUAGUACUCCGAUAUAGUAUUCCUAUAUGCAUGCGUAGUGUGAAUGCUAUUUUUUAGCCCAUCUCACGGCCAAUAGAUAACCACCUAGGUCCCAGAGAAUUUUUAAGUGCGCCUUCUAAACUACGACAGAUGGAGUAGUAAAAGAGUCUUUCGUAUUCGUUAGUGAACAUUUAUAUUCGGCAAUGUACUGUGAUUAGUAAUUCUAAUAAGCCAUUGCAAUUAAUUUUAGAGAAGCACGAAGCGUCCAAAUAAACCAGACCAGUAGGCAGGGAUCCAAGGGAACCGAAUACCUCAGAUUUAGCAUCAUCUUCCCGCUGUUAUAAAACUAAAAUAAUUGUGAAACUGCAUGCUACCAUUACUCAGCAAUCAAGAGUCCUUAAUUAAUGGCUAUAUAUUUUCCUCUAUUUUUGGUCAAACUUGACAAAUUUUGACUUUAACAAAAUCCUAAACGCGAAGUAAAUAAAAAUGGAGUGAGUAGCAAUCAGGCAACGUUGUUAGAAAUGGUGUUGGGUAAGUGCACCUAAAGCUCAUAGUUGGACAGCAUACCACUGCAUUUUGAUUUGAUUUGGGAGCUAAUUUAGCGACUAUCCAUAUAGUCACUCAGAUUUCGUUUUCGCUAAUCUGGUCUAAACUCUGAUUUCCUUAGCUUUGUGAUCAGCUUUCCUUCGCUGGAUAGCACUUCAACCUUUACAUACUUUUUUUUAUCAUAAUAUCCCCGGACCAAUUUUCAAAAUCAGUUCCUGGCCCACUAUUUAGGUUUGGUGUAACAGUUAUCUUUCAAUAUUUAACCAUUGGAUCCGAGCCAAUGAACGGCUGUCAAUGUUUCCAAGCGUUGUAAAAUUCCUCCUUAUUGUAUUAAGAAGAAAAGGAACUAUAUUCAUAGACUGUUGGAUGACAAUGGUGAAUGGAAAGAGGACAAUGAGUCAAUGAAGAAUCUGAUAGGUAGCUAUUUUCAACACUUGUUCACUUCAGAAGUUGCAGAUCCGAAUUGGAAUGUUAUUAACAGGGUGAAACCGAAAGUUACUCUCUACAUGAAUGAGGCUUUAAUGGCCCCAUAUACCGAAGAUGAGGUAAAGAGAGCCUUAUUCAGCACUCCCUCCAUUUCGAAUUAGUCUACAUCCUGACUACAUCAUUUGCUCCAAAUUAGUCUACAUUCUACCAAGAAAUCGCAACAGUGCUUCCAUCAGCGGCCAUCGGUGCUACCGUCCGUGUUCGGCGGUGCUAACUGCUGGAGUCAGCAUGCUACCAGCGGUGCUACUUGCCGGAGUCAGCAUGUUAUCGAUGAUGCUGCCGGCGUUGGUCGGCGAGGUCCCGUCGCACCUUUGUAGGUCGGGAUGAUGGUGCAGCAGGCGGCGGUGCAGGUAGCGCGGACGGCGGUGCUCGGAGUUGGCUCGUUGCCGGCCAUGCAAGAGAAAGAUCGGGGCAAGUACUGAAAUUAUUGGUAACAGAUAAGAUAAUUCAUAACAGGUAACAAGUAACAAAAGUAAACAAGGUGCAGUAAGAUUGCCCAAUCCUUGUUGUAGCAAAGGACAAGCCUGCACGAGCUCUUAUGUAAAGUAAAGCGCUCCCGAGGACACAUGAGAAUUGUUGUCAAGUUAGUUUUCAUCAUACUCAUAUGAUUCACGUUCGUUACUUUGAUAAUUUGAUAUGUGGGUGGACCGGAGCUUGGUGCUGCCCUUCCUUGGACAAGCCUCCCACUUAUGAUUAACCACUCUCGCAAGCAUCUGCAACUACGAAGGAAUAAUUAAGAUAAAUCUAACCAUAGCAUGAAACAUAUGGAUCCAAAUCAGCCCCUUACGAAGCAACACAUAAACUAGUGUUUAAUCUUCUGUCACUCUAACAACCCAUCAUCUACUUAUUACCUUCCAUUGCCUUUCCCUAGCCCCAAAUCAUGGUGAAGUGUCAUGUAGUCGACUUCACAUAACACCACUAGAGGAGAGACAACAUACAUCUCAUCAAAAUAUCGAACGAAUACCAAAUUCACAUGAUUACUUAUAACAAGAUGAUGUGUGCUAGAACUACGUCGGUAUUUCCCCAAAGAGGAAGGGGUGAUGUAGUAUAGCGACGGUAGGUAUUUCCCUCGGUGAUGAGACCAAGGUUAUCGAACCAGUAGGAGAACCUCCUAAAACCACGUAAACAACACCUGCACACAAAUAACAAAUACUCGCAAUCCGACGUGUUAAGGGGGUUGUCAAUCCCUUUCGGAUACGACGCCUCAAGAUAGGCAAAAACCAGAGGUAAAAAGUGGUAGAUAGGAUAAAUAGAUCGUGGAACAAAUAAAUUACAGCAAGGUAUUUUCGUAUUUUUGGUUUAAUAGAUCUGAAAAUAAAUGCAAGAGAAAAUAGAUCGCAAAGGCAAAUAUGAUGAAAAGAGACCCGGGGGGUAGGUUUCACUAGUGGCUUCUCUCGAGAAAAAUAGCAAACGGUGGGAAAACAAUUACUGUUGGGCAAUUGAUAGAACUUCAAAUAAUCAUGACGAUAUCCAGGCAAUGAUCAUUAUAUAGGCAUCACGUCCAAGAUUAGUAGACCGACUCCUGCCUGCAUCUACUACUAUUACUCCACACAUCGACCGUUAUCCAGCAUGCAUCUAGUGUAUUAAGUUCAUGAGAAAAAGGAGUAAUGCAAUAAGAACGAUGACAUGAUGUAGAUGAGAUCUGUUUAUCUAUUGUGGCAGAUAUAGAUCUCAUCUUGUUAUCCUUAGUAGCAAUGAUACAUACGUGUCGGUUCCCCUUCUGUCACUAGGAUCAAGCACCGUAAGAUCGAACCCACUACAAAGCACCUCUUCCCAUUGCAAGAUAAAUAGAUCAAGUUGGCCAAACAAAACCCAAAUAUCGAAGAAGAAAUACAAGGCUAUAAGAAAUCACACAUAUAAGAGAUCAAAGAAGACUCAAAUAACUUUUAUGGAUAAAAACAUAGAUCUGAUCAUAAACUCAAAGUUCAUCGGAUCCCAACAAACACACCGCCAAAACACUUACAUCAUAUGGAUCUCCAAGAGACCAUUGUAUUGAUAAUCAAGAGAGAGAGAGGAAGCCAUCUAGCUACUAACUACGGACCCGUAGGUCUACAAAGAACUACUCACGCAUCAUAGGAGAUGCACCAAUGGAAGUGGUGAACCCCUCCAUGAUGGUGUCUAGAUUGGAUCUGGUGGUUCUGGACUCUGCGGCGGUUGGAUCAAUAUUUCGUCGACUGCCCUAGGGUUUCUAAAAUAUUCGGGUAUUUAUAGAGCAAAGAGGCGGUUCGGGGGGGGGGGCACCCGAGGUGGGCACAACCCCCCAGGGUGCGCCUGGGCCUCCUGACGCGCCCUGGUGGGUGCUGCUCACCUCGAGCAGCCCCUUAGGUGCUUCCUUGGCCCAUUGGCUUUCUUCUGGACCAAAGAAAUCCUCCAGGAGUUGCAUUGCAUUUGGACUCCGUUUGAUAUUGAUUUCAUGCGAUGUAAAAACACAUGCAGAAAACAACAACUGUCACUGGGCACUAUGUCAAUAGGUUAGUACCAAAAAAUGAUAUAAAAUGACUAUAAAAUGAUUAUAAAAGAUCCAAGAAUGAUAAUAUAAUAGCAUGGAACAAUCAAAAAUUAUAGAUACGUUGGAGACGUAUCAGCAUCCCCAAGCUUAAUUCUUGCUCGUCCUCGAGUAGGUAAAUAAUAAAAAUAGAAUUUUUAAUGUGGAAUGCUGCCUAACAUGUUCAUCACAUUCUUUUUUUAUAGCAUGGACAUAUGGACUUUUAUAUGAUUCAAGGCAAUAGUCUAGUUUUGACAUGAAGACUUUAAUACUCAAGCAUACCAACAAGUAACCAUGUAUUUCAAAAUAUCAACACUAAAGCAAGUUAUCCUAGCCCAUCAUGCUCAAUCAUUGAUCCAUUCAUGAAACACACUCGAAUAUUAGCUACACCCAAUGCUCAAAUACGAUUAUAGUGCCCCUUAGUUGGUGCUUUAUAAGAGAAGAUGGAGACUCAAAUUCAAAAUAAAAAUUUCAUAAGUAAAAGAAAGGCCCUUCGCGGAGGGAAGUAGGGAUUUGUAGAGGUGCCAGAGCUCAUAGCUUAAAUUGAGAGAAAAAAUUAUUUUUGAGAGGCAUACUUUUCCUACCAACGAAAACGACUUGGAGCAUCCCAACACUUUUCAUGCUAGAUACACCAUAGGCGGUUCCCAAACAAAAAAUAAAGUUUAUUCCUUUUUCCACCAUAACUUUCACUUUCCAUGGCUAACCGUAUCCACGGGUGCCCUCCAUACCAACACUUUCCAAGGAAUUUAUUAUUUGACAACAUAAAGUAAAUUCAUUUAUUCAUUUCGGACUGGGCAUCCCUAGUACCUUUGGCGUACUCUCGUGCAAUGACAAGUGAAUAAACACUCAUCAUGAGAAUAACACAUCUAGCAUGGAAAAUAUUGGCUACCCUUUACCGCCUCGCGAGUAGUAGAGCACACAAAAGAGAAAUUUAUUUUGAAAAUUAGAGAUGGCACAUGAAAAUUUGCUUAGAACGGCAUGGAAAUACCGCAUAUAGGUAGGUAUAGUGGACUCAUAUGGCAAAACUAGUUUAAAGGGUUUUGGAUGCACAAGUAGUGAUCAUACUUAGUUCAAAAUGAAAGCUAGCAAAAAUAUUGAGAAGCGACCAACCAAAAAGCAAAAAAUCUCGUACCCAAGCGUUAAGCAUAAGUAACACCGAAUAAUGCACCAUAAGUAGGAUAUAAAUUUCAUUGCAUAACUAUUGACUUUCAUGCUUGCAUAGGGAAUCACAACCCUUAACAUCAAUAUUCUUACUAAAGCACAAUUACUCAUCAACAUGACUCACAUAUCAUAUCAUCAUAUCUCAAAACCAUUACUAAGAAUCAAGUUUAUUUUGUCCAAUGAUCUUAAUGAAAGUUUUUAUUAUAUCCUCCUUCGAUAUCUAUCACUAAGGGACUAUUUUCAAAUGUUUCUUUUGAUAAGCUCAAACAAAUAUAAGUGAAGAUCACGAGCAUAAUUUUUUUCUUUAUCCCAAAAUAAUCUAAGUGAAGUAAGAGGGAAUUUCUUAAUUAUUUUACUAAAUCCCAAAUAAAUCUAAGUGAAACAUGAGAGCAUUUAUUCAAAAUUAACAAAGCACAUCGUGCUCAAAAAGAUAUAAGUGAAGUACUAGAGCAAGUCCAUGGCUCUAAAAAUUUAAGUGAAGCAUAGGAGCAAACAUAGCAUAAUUUUUGGCUUUCUUAAAAGGUGUGUCCAGCAAGGAUUCAACACUUAAACACAAAGCAAAACAAGCAAAGACUCAUAUCAUACAAGACGCUCCAAGCAAAACUCAUAUCAUGUGAUGAAUAAAAAUAUAGUUUCAAGUAAAAUACCGAUGGUCGUUAGAAGAAAGCGGGGAUGCCACUCGGGGGCAUACCCAAGCUUAGUUGAUUGCUACUUCUUUGAAUAUUAUAUUUGGGUUCCCAGGUCAUCCCCAAGCUUAGACUUUUGGUUAUCCUUAUUCCUUCAUCCAUCGUAAGAUAAUCCAAAACUUGAAAACUUCAAUCACACAAAACUCAAACAAAACCUUCGUGAGAUCUGUUAGGAUAAGAAAGCAAACCACUACUAUAAGUACUGUAGAAAACCUAUUCUUAUUUUGUUUUUACAUUAUAUCUACUGUAUUACAAUUUUUCUAUGGCAAAAACUCAUCAAAGAAAACCAUAGAAUCAUCAAAACAAGCACACAACGCAAAGAAAACAGAAUCUGUCAAAAACAGAACAGUCUGUAGCAAUCUGAAAAUUUCGAAUACUUUUGUAACUCCAAAAAUUAUGAAAUAAAUUUGUGGACGUGAGGAAUUUGUCUAUUUAUCCUCUUAAAAAAUAAUCAACUUAAAAGCACUCUUCUGUAAAAAAAUGACAACGAAUUUCGUGAGCGCAAAAGUUUUUGUUUUUCAGCAAGAUCAAAUAAACUUUCACCCAAGUCUUCCAAAGGCAUUGCUUGGCACAAACACUAACUAAAACGUAAAAAACACAAACAUAAAAGUAGCAUAAUUGUGCUAACACUCAAGAACAGAAAGAAAAAAGCAAAAAUAAAUAUUAUUCAUUGGGUUGCCUCCCAACAAGCGCCAUCGUUUUACGCCCCUAGCUAGGCAUAACGCGUAGGAUCUAAGUGUUGUCAUCUUUGGUUCUAGAUCCAUAAGAUGCAAUCAUGAUUGAUUCAUAUGGUGGCCUAAUUCUAGUUCUAGGGAAGUGUUCCAUUCCCUUCCUUUGUGUAAAUUGAAAUUUAAUAUUGCCUUCUUUCAUAUUGAUCACGGCACUAAUAGUACGCAAAAACGGUGUACCAAGAAUAAUUGGACAAGACAGAUUGCAAUCAAUAUCAAGAACAAUAAAAUCUAUGGGCACACAAUUCCUAUUUGAAAGAAUAAGAACAUCAUUAAUUCUUCCUAUAUGCUUUUUAAUAGUAGAAUCGUAAGUGAAAAUUUAAAGAGCAUUCUUCAAUAUCGGUAAGACCAAGCACAUCACAUAAAGAUUUCAUAAUUGUAGAAACACUAGCACCCAAGUCACAUAAAACAAAACACUCAUAAUUUUUAAUCUUGACUUUGAUAGUAGGUUCCCACUUAUCAUGCAAUUUUCUAGGAAUUGAAACUUCUAAUUCCAAGUUUUCUUCAAAAGCUUUCAUCAUGGCAUCAACAAUAUGUUUAGUAAAAGCUUUAUUUUGUUCAUAAGUAUGGGGUGAAUUUAUCAUGGAUUGCAACAAAGAAAUACAAUCAAUCAAAGAGCAACUAUCAUAAUUAAAGUCUUUGUAAUCCAAAAUUGUGGGCACAUCACUAGUUAAAGUCUUGACCUCUUCAAACCCACUUUUAUCAAAUUUUUCAACAAGAUUUUCACCCUCCGAAUCAUAGGGACGCCUUCUAACUAAAGUUGACUCUUCUCCAGUCCCUUUUUCAUCAAUCUUAACUUACUAAACAAAGAAUCAAUAGAAUAAACACCAAUCACUUUAAUAUCUUCAUCACUUUUAUGAUAGUAAUCACUAGAAAACACUUUUUCUAAAAAAAUUCUUUUGUCUCUAAGCAUAGCGGUUCUUUUCUUACUUUCAUCCAUAGAAACAUAAAGAUUUUAAUUGAUUCUUCAACUUUAGGCACAAAUUUUUUCAUUUUGAGAGUUUCUAUAUCGUGAGAAAUUCUAUCAACACUUCUAGACAAAUCAUCAAUUUUAUUUAACUUUUCUUCUAUCGAAGUGUUGAAAGCUUUUUGCGUAUUGAUAAAUUCUUUAAUAUUGUUCUCAAGAUCAGAGGUGUUUCUAUUAUUAUUGUAGGUGGUAUUACCAUAGGAAUUACCAUAGUUAUUAGAGGAAUUACUAGGAAAAGGCCUAGGAUUAUAAUUACUUCUAUAAGCAUUGUUGUUGAAAUUAUUUCGCGAGACAAAAUUCACAUCUAUGGCAUCACUAUUUUGCUAAAUCAAAGUAGACAAAGGAACAUCAUUAAAAUCAAUAGGAUCACUUUUAUUAGCAACCAACUUCAUAAGAGCAUCAACUUUUUCCUCAAAGAAUUUAUUUCUUCUACCGAAUUGACUUUUUUACUAGUAGGAGCUCUUUCAGUAUGCCAUUGCGAGUAAUUUGCCAUAAUAUUGUCUAGAAAUUUAGUAGCUUCACCCAGAGUAAGUUCCAUUAAGUACCCUCCGUAGCGGAAUCUAAAAGACUAGGAGAAACAAAAUUCAAUCCCACAUAAAAAUUCUGUAUGAUCAUCCAAAGAUUUAACCCAUGAGUUGGGCAAUUCCUUAGCAUCAAUUUCAUCCUUUCCCAAGAUUGUGCAACAUGCUCAUGUUCAAGUUGCUUGAAAUUCACGGUUUGGGUUCUAAGGGAAAUACUUUUUGCGGGCGAAAAAUACUUAGUGAUAAAAGCAUCUUUGCACUUGUUUCAAGAAUCAAUACUAUUGCGAGGCAAAGAAGAAAACCAAAUUUUUGCACGAUAUCGCAAAGAAAACGGAAAUAAUUUCAACUUCACAACAUCAUUGUCCACAUCUUUUUCUUUUGCAUAUCGCAUAAUUCCAUGAAUGUGAUAAGAUGGGACGCGGUAUCCUCAUUUGGAGUACCGGCAAAUUGAUCUUUCAUGACAAGAUUCAACAAAGCAGUAUUAAUAUCACAAGACUCCGCACUAGUGGCGGGAGGAGCAAUCAGAGUGCUAAUAAAAUCAUUGUUGUUAGUAUUUGAGAAAUCACACAACUUGGUGUUCUCUUGAGUCAUGAUGACUACGCAAUAAGAUUGCACUCAAAAACAAAUCUGACGAGAAAACGGCGAACGAAAAAAGGGCGAAUAAAACGGCAAAUUUUUGUGAAGUGGGGGAGAGCAAAACGAGAGGCAAAUGGCAAAUAAUGAAAAUUGUGAGGAGAUGAGAUUUGUGAUUAGGAACCUGGUUGAUGUUGAAGAUCCUCCCCAGCAACGGCGCUAAAAAUUCCUUUUGAUGUCUGCUAGAACUACGUCGGUAUUUCCCCAAUGAGGAAGGGAUGAUGCAGUAUAGCGAUGGUAGGUAUUUACCUUAGUGAUGAGACCAAGGUUAUCGAACCAGCAGGAGAACCUCCUCACACCACAUAAACAACACCUGCACACAAAUACAAAUACUCGCAACCCGACGUGUUAAAGGGGUUGUCAAUCCCUUUCGGGUACGGCGCCUCAAGAUAGGCAAAAACAUGAGGUAAAAAGUGGUAGAUAGGAUAAAUAGAUCGCGGAACAAAUAAAUUGCAGCAAGGUAUUUUUGUAUUUUUAGUUUAAUAGAUCUGAAAAUAAAUGCAAGAGAAAAUAGAUCGCAAAGGCAAAUAUGAUGAAAAGAGACCCGAGGGGCCGUAGGUUUCACUAGUGGAUUCUCUCGAGAAAAAUAGCAAACAGUGGGAAAACAAUUACUGUUGGGCAAUUGAUAGAACUUCAAAUAAUCAUGUUGAUAUCUAGGCAAUGAUCAUUAUAUAGGCAUCACGUCCAAGAUUAGUAGACCGACUCCUGCCUGCAUCUACUACUAUUACUCCACACAUCGACCCGCUAUCCAGCAUGCAUCUAGUGUAUUAAGUUCAUGAGAAAAUGGGGUAAUGCAAUAAGAACGAUGACAUGAUGUAGAUGAGAUCCGUUUAUCUAUUGCGGCAGAUAUAGAUCUCAUCUUGUUAUCCUUAGUAGCAACGAUACAUAUGUGUCGGUUCCCCUUCUGUCACUGGGAUCAAGCACCAUAAGAUCGAACCCACUACAAAGCACCUCUUCCCAUUGCAAGAUAAAUAGAUCAAGUUGGCCAAACAAAACCCAAAUAUCGGAGAAGAAAUACGAGGCUAUAAGCAAUCACGCAUAUAAGAGAUCAAAGAAGACUCAAAUAACUUUCAUGGAUAAAAACAUAGAUUUGAUCAUAAACUCAAAAUUCAUCGGAUCCCAACAAACACACCGCCAAAAGACUUACAUCAUAUGGAUCUCCAAGAGACCAUUGUAUUGAUAAUCAAGAGAGAGAGAGGAAGCCAUCUAGAAAUAACUACGGACCCAUAGGUCUACAAAGAACUACUCACGCAUCAUAGGAGAGGCACUAAUGGAAGUGGUGAACCCCUCCAUGAUGGUGUCUAGAUUGCAUCUGGUGGUUCUGUACUCUGCAGCGGCUGGAUCAAUAUUUCGUCAACUCCCCUAGGGUUUCUGGAAUAUUUGGGUAUUUAUAGAGCAAAGAGGCAGUUCGGGGAGCACCCGAGGUGGGCACAACCCCCCAGGGUGCGCCUGGGCCUCCUGGCGUGCCCUAGUGGGUGUUGCUCACCUCGAGUAGCCCCUCAGGUGCUUCCUUGGCCCAUUGGCUUUCUUCUGGCCCAAAAAAAUCCUCCAGGAGUUGCGUUGCGUUUGGACUCCGUUUGAUAUUGAUUUCCUGCGAUGUAAAAAACAUGCAAAAAACAACAACUGGCACUGGACACUAUGUCAAAAGGUUAGUACCAAAAAAUGAUAUAAAAUGACUAUAUAAUGAUUGUAAAACAUCCAAGAAUGAUAAUAUAACAUCAUGAACAAUCAAACAUUAUAGAUACGUUGGAGACGUAUCACAAUACUUUUCCCAUGUCCUCGGGAACAAACAUAACUACUCACAAAGCAUAUUCAUGUACAAAAUCAGAGGAGUAUUAAUAAUAAUUAAGGAUCUGAACAUAUGAUCUUCCACCGAAUAAACCAACUAGCAUCAACUACAAGGAGUAAUCAACACUACUAGCAACCCACAGGUACCAAUCUGAGGUUUUGAGACAAAGAUCGGAUACAAGAGAUGAACUAGGGUUUGAGAGGAGAUGGUGCUGGUGAAGAUGUUGAUGGAUAUUGACCCCCUCUUGAUUAGAGGAUCAUUGGUGAUGACGAUGGCUUCGAUUUCCCCCUUUCGGAGGGAAGUUUCCUUGGCAGAACAGCUCCGCCGGAGCCCUAGAUUGGUUCUGCCCAAGUUCCGCCUCGAGACGGCGGCACUUCGUCCCGAAAGCUUCCCACUGGUACGCUUUGGUGCUAUGCAAAUGGUUUUUAACCCCUUUUCGCGAUGGUAUUUGGAACCAUCGCUAAGUGAGUGUGGGCAAUGGGGUGGUCCUUCCCACAUGAUCCAGAAACCGUCGGGGAUAGGGAGCCAAGAUGCAUGUACAGUACUCUUACUCGUUUGUGCUCACAUUGCCAUCGCAGUCGGUAUUCUGUGGUGCUACAUUUAUGAUGUGCGGCCCAUCACAAACGGUUCACUAUUAUAGAACGUGUAUGAUAAGCAUACAAUCACACACAUUCGCUUUUCACAAACCAUAUGCGGUAACUAAUUAAGAAGAUUAGCUAAUCGUCGUACGAGUGUCGGAUAGGAUUACGAAACGUUGGACCGUCGUAACAUCAUCAUACACGACAACUAUCACACACGCUAUUCUGUGGUGCAAUGUUUACGAUGCAUACUUCAUCAGAAACACUUCAUGGUUGCGAAUCGUGUAAGAUAAGGCAACUAUCGCACACACUAUUCUGUGGUGCAACGUUUACGAUGCAUACUUCAUCAAAAACAGUUCAUGGUUGCGAAUCGUGUACGAUAAGGCAACUAUCGCAAAAGGUUAGUUUGCCAGCACCGUUUGUCAUAUUAUCUAACAUCACACACGCUUUGCAAACAGCAACUGUGUGCGCGCUUGCACAUGUUUCCUCUCUGUGAACCGUCUCGGAUUAUGGUGUAUAUCACAAACGUUUGUGUUUUACCAACCGUGUGUGCCGUGACAACCUGGAGAGCGUAAUUUCACCGUAAUUUAAUUGCUGCUAUAUCAAAUUGAUAUUGAAAUUGAAAUUGAAUUUGCAUUUGAAUGUAUGCUAUAGCUUUAUUCAUCUCCAUCAGGUUCAGACAACCAAUGCAUUAUUCGAUUCAUAGGUACACAUCAAGAAUUACUUAAGAACCAAAUAAAGAAUGAUGAACCACAAUUGUAUACUUGUACUAUUAAAGAUGGUAAAGAAAGAGGCGAAAUACAUUUUGGUUGCUGAACAAGGUGAAGCGGAAUGCCCAUAUUGUGCCCUCCUCCAUGUAGAAGGCACGCACGACUCUAGUCCAACACCUUGUGAUGGCCGACCGUCCAUCCUUCACGGUCUUCAUGAAAAUAUCUAGAUAAUCAGUGUGUUCUGGUAGAAAUACUUUAACCUUUGCAUGCCCACCAAUCAUGUAGUUUGAGAGGUAAUCUUUAGUAAACUGCUUUGGGAACCACUGCAAAGGAAAAAAGAUUCAGACAUUGUCAUGUAAUGCAACUCAUUAUGGGCAGUAAAAAGAAGGUUGCAGAGUUCUUACUUACCAUCCUGCAGUUCGUUGUUGUAUUGGAUAAAGUGUAAACAAAUAGUUUAAUUGCCAUAUUUUGACCCAUUUUACUAACAAUCUUUAUCAACUUCCUCACUUGAUGCUGGUAAGUACGAGAUGACCAAACAGGAAAACACGGAUAUCUGUCAAGCCCAAGUGAAGGCCUACAUCGAAAUGCAAAGAGCUAAGAGACAUCCACCUCCAGAGGAGAAGAUAAAUCAGGUGAAAGUGAAGCACACUUUGGACGCCCUGCAGCGACCACCACCGUCUCCGCCGAAAACCAGCUAUGAGCGCGUUACUGCAAAGACAUAUAAGGAAGCGAAGCGGUCGGGAAGUACUUGCAGUGACAAAAGGUUACAAGAACGAAGAAGUGGGAAAAAAUUCCCCAUCUCGGCAAACAAGAGAACCAAUCGUGCCCCCCGCUCAAGGUGUCUAGCGAUAUCGUCGCUAAUCAUCCGAGGAUCUUUCCCGGUACCAAUCCUGUAGAUUACCUGCCCGACGAUGCACAUUUUGAUACAAUGGAGGUGGACGAAUUCAAAUACGAGUACGGGAAGCCUCUCGUUAAAGAUGGAACUAUUCUAACAACGAUGAUGCGAAGAUUCCAUGAUUGGUACAUGGGAACCUGCAGAAAGUUUGCAAGGGAGAAAAAAGGAUACUUUGACGCUGAAAGUUAAAGAGGGUCAUCACGACCUCAUUGGAAUUGAGCAGUUGUGUGUUUCAUUUGAGGAGUUCUUCCAGUUUUUCAAUCAGAAGGCCCUUGAUAAAUUAACGGUCACUUGCUACUAUCUGUAAGUACUACUUCUGUCAUUAAGUCUCUAUAUAUAGCUCAGCUCUUUCAUUGCAUGCAUAUAUAAUUAUCCUCACUAUAUUAUGCAGGUUGAAGAUCGUCGAAUGCAGAAAGGCUGAAAUGUAUGAUAUUGGGUUCAUUAACACAGAUCUCAUAGAUCAAUUUACGUUUACAUCUCAUGCCAAAGAAACUGAGGACAACUUGCUACGACCGUUGAUAAUAAAUCAAAAUAAAGAUACAAUACUCUUUCCUUACAACUUCAAGUGAGUGUUACUUACUUGUGCAUAUUUAGUUUCCCUUAAUUAUUACUCGAGUUUAUGUAAUUGAUGAGUUAUGCAUGCGUGCGCAACUUCCACUAUAUUCUCCUAGAGAUUAAGCUUGAACAGGGACUAGUAAAAGUCUUAGACUCGAGACGAAAAGAUCCCUCUGAAUAUGCAGACAUGUCUAAAAUGCUCGAGAAGUAAGUUGAAUCGAUCAUUAUCGCACCAUAUCGGCAACUUUGUUCAUUUCAUGAUAUCAGGUAAUUGUUUUCUUUGUCUUGCAGGGUUUGGAAAGUAUUCACCGCACAAGUUUCGGGACUGCCACGGGAACUGCGAUGGAUUUACCCAAAAGUAAGUACUACUAGCUAGCUAGUUCCGCGCAUCUCCCGUUGAUUCUAGCUACUUUCAUCAAUGCUCAUUUAUAAUGCUUCAUUAUCAGUUUGAUUGACCUCUAUUUCUCGUAAAGUGCUUGUGGCAGGAAGCCGAGAAUAAUUACUGUGGAUACUACGUCUGCGAGUUCAUCUACAACGCGACGGCCAAGAAUAGGUGGGGCUACUCUAAAAGACAAUAUAAAGUGCGUAAGCAAAAAUAUUCACAAGUUUAUUUUAUUACCAUCAUUUUCUGUUGAUUUCAUUCAUAUAUAUGUAUUGACCCCCUUCUUUAAAUUAGAUGUGGGAGAUGUGGAAUGAAAUCCUACCACAAGAUCGCAUGCGAGCAAUUCAAGAGGAAUUAGCUGGAUUCUUUCUUGACCACGUCAUCAAUAAAGCCGGAGAAUACCACCAUGCAUGUGGAACUUGAGUUCAUAUAUUAGGGUAUUGUAAGAGAUCUUACACAUUGUAUAUAUAUAUCUAGCCAGUAGCGUCGGAUAGAUAUACGAUAACUUGUUGUUCGACCAAUAUCUCGGAGAAGGAGAGGUCGAUCACUUCUGUAUAUGUUCAUGACGAUCUUCUGUACUUAAUAGUUUCCUUCAUUUGCUUAUAGCUAGCUAGUGUGUCGAGUCCUUUCUAUACGUAGCGUCGACCAAGCACGGAGAUAAGAGAGGACACUUUUCUCUAUUCGCUAGCUAACACAAUAUAUGAAACCCCUAAAUUAACCCUACAAAACCCCCCAACCCCCCCUCCUCUCUUUGAGAAAAAAACAAGCAAGCCUUUUCGUCCCGGUUGGUGGCACCAACUGGGACAAAAGGCCCCCCUGCCUGGGCAAGCGGCAGCGGCCACGUGGAGCCCCCAUCUGUCCCGGUUCCUGGGCAAACCGAGACUAAAAGUGCAGGACUUUAGUAAUGAACCUUUAGUCUCGGUUCAAGAACCGAGACUAAAGGCCCUCACGAACCGGUACGAAUGGGCCUUAGUUGAGUUGCAACCUUUCAGUAUAACUCCACUAUUCACUGUGUUUAAAACUUCAGUCACUAUUUCAUCUCCCAACACAGGCCAGAACUGAUGGGGAACGUUGCAAAAAAUAAAAAGUUUCCUACGGUUUCACCAAGAUCAAUCUAUGAGUUCAUCUAGCAACAAGAGAGAGGAGUGCAUCUACAUACCCUUGUAGAUCGAGCGGAAGCGUUAAAGGGAACAGGGUUGAGGGAGUCGUACUCGUCGUGAUCCAAAUCACCGGAGAUCCUAGUGGCGAACGGACGACACCUCCGCGUUCAACACACGUAUGGUCAGGGAGACGUCUCCUCCUUCUUGAUCCAGCAAGGGGGAAGGAGAGGUUGAUGAAGAUCCAGCAGCACGACGGCUUGGUGGUGGAUGCAGCAGGGAUCUCGGUAGGGCUUCGCCAAGCGUCUGCAAGAGGGAGAGGUGUAGCAAUGGGGAAGGGAGGCGCCAAGUGCAUGGGUGCGGCUGCCCUCCCUCCUCCCAUCUUUAUAUAGGGCCCCUAGGGGGGGCGCCUAUUGGGGAACGUAGUAAUUUCAAAAAAAUUCCUACGUACACGAAAGAUCAUGGUGAUGGCAUAGAAACGAGAGGAGAGAGUGUUGUCCAUGUACCCUCGUAGACCGUAAGCGGAAGUGUUAUGACAACGUGGUUGAUGUAGUCGUACGUCUUCACGAUCCGACCGAUCCAAGUACCGAACGUACGGCACCUCCGAGUUCAGCACACGUUCAGCUCGAUGACGAUCCCCGGGCUCCGAUCCAGCAAAGCUUCGGGGAUGAGUUCCGUCAGCACGACGGCGUGGUGACGAUGAUGAUGCUCUACCGGCGCAGGGCUUCGCCUAAACUUCGCGACGAUAUGACCGAGGUGGAAUAUGGUGGAGGGGGGCACCGCACACGACUAAGGAACGAUCCGUAGAUCAGCUUGUGUGUCUAUGGGGUGCCCCCCGCCCCCGUAUAUAAAGGAGCCAGGGGGGAGGAGGCGGCCGGCCAAGGAGGGCGCGCCAAGGGGGGAGUCCUACUCCCAUCGGGAGUAGGACUCCCUUCUUUCCUAGUUGGAAUAGGAGAAGGGGGAAAGAGGAGGAAGAGGGGAAGGAAAGGGGGGGUGCCGCCCCCCUUCCCUUGUCCUAUUCGGACUAGGAAGGGGAGGGGCGCGCGUCCCCCUCCUGACUCCUUCCCUCUUCUCCCUCGAGGCCCAUGUAGGCCCAAUAACCCCCCGGGGGGUUCCGGUAACCUCCCGGUACUCCGGUAAAAUGCCGAUUUCACCUGGAACGAUUCCGAUGUCCAAAUAUAGGCUUCCAAUAUAUCGAUCUUUAUGUCUCGACCAUUUCGAGACUCCUCGUUAUGUCCGUGAUCACAUCCGGGACUCCGAACAAACUUCGGUACAUCAAAACUUAUAAACUCAUAAUAAAACUGUCAUCGUAACGUUAAGCGUGCGGACCCUACGGGUUCGAGAACUAUGUAGACAUGACCUAGAACUAUUCUCGGUCAAUAACCAAUAGCGGAACCUGAAUGCCCAUAUUGGUUCCUACAUAUUCUACGAAGAUCUUUAUCGGUCAAACCGCAUAACAACAUACGUUGUUCCCUUUGUCAUCGGUAUGUUACUUGCCCGAGAUUUGAUCUUCGGUAUCCAAUACCUAGUUCAAUCUCGUUACCGGCAAGUCUCUUUACUUGUUCCGUAAUGCAUCAUUCCAUAACCAACUCAUUUGGUCACAUUGCUUGCAAGGCUUAUAAAGAUGUGCAUUACCGAGAGGGCCCAGAGAUACCUCUCCGACAAUCGGAGUGACAAAACCUAAUCUCGAAAUACGCCAACUCAACAUGUACCUUCGGAGACACCUGUAGUACUCCUUUAUAAUCACCCAGUUACGUAGUGACGUUUGGUAGUACCCAAAGUGUUCCUCCGGUAAACGGGAGUUGCAUAAUCUCAUAGUUACAGGAACAUGUAUAAGUCAUGAAGAAAACAAUAGCAACAUACUAAACGAUCAAGUGCUAGGCUAACGGAAUGGGUCAUGUCAAUCACAUUAUUCUCCUAAUGAUGUGAUCCCAUUAAUCAAAUGACAACACAUGUCUAUGGUUAGGAAACACAAACAUCUUUGAUUAAUGAGCUAGUCAAGUAGAGGCAUACUAGUGACUAUAUGUUUGUCUAUGUAUUCACACAAGUAUCAUGUUUCUGGUUAAUACAAUUCUAGCAUGAAUAAUAAACAUUUAUCAUGAAAUAAGGAAAUAAAUAAUAACUUUACUAUUGCCUCUAGGGCAUAUUUCCUUCAGUCUCCCACUUGCACUAGAGUCAAUAAUUUAGUUCACAUCGCUAUGUGAUUUAACACCAAUAUUCACAUCUGCAUGUGAUUAAUACCCAUAGUUCACAUCAUCAUGUGAUCAACACCCAAAGGGUUAACUAGAGUCAAUAAUCUAGUUCACAUCGCUAUGUGAUUAACACCCAAAAGAGUACUAAGGUAUGAUCAUGUUUUGCUCGUGAGAGAAGCUUAGUCAACGGGUCUGUCAUAUUCAGAGCCGUAUGUAUUUCGCAAAUAUUCUAUGUCCACAAUGCUCUGCACGGAGCUACUCUAGCUAAUUGCUCCCACUUUCAAUAUGUCUCCAGAUUGAGACUUAGAGUCAUCUGGAUUGGUGUAAAAGCUUGCAUCGUUGUAACUUUUACGACGGGCUCUUUUAUCACCUCCAUAAUCGAGAAACAUCUCCUUAGUCCUCACUAAGGAUAUUCUUGACCCAUAUCCAGUGAUCUACUUAUUAGAUCAAAAUUGUAUUCCUUUGCCAAACACAGAGCAAGGUAUACAAUAGGUCUGGUUCACAGCAUAGCAUACUUUAUAGAACCUAUGACUGAGGCAUAGGGAAUGACUUUUCAUUCUCUUUCUAUUUUCUGCAAUGGUCGGGUCUUGAGUCUUACUCAACUUCACACCUUGUAACACAGGCAAGAACUCCUUCUUUGACUGUUCCAUUUUGAACUAUUUCAAAAAUUUAUCAAGGUAUGUACUCAUUGAUAAAUCUUAUCAAGCGUCUUGAUCUAUCUAUAUAGAUCUUGAUGCUCAAUGUGUAAGCAGCUUCACCGAGGUCUUGCUUUGGAAAACUCUUAUUCAAGUAUCCUUUCAUGCUAUCCAGAAUUUCCAUAUCAUUUCCAAUUAACAAUAUGUCAUCCACAUAUAAUAUUAGAAAUGCUACAGAGCUCCCACUCACUUUCUUGUAAAUACAGGCUUCUUCAAAAGUCUGUAUAAAACCAUAUGCUUUGAUCAACUCAUCAAAGCGUAUAUUCCAACUCCGAGAUGCUUGCACCAGUCCAUUGAUGGAUUGCUGGAGCUUGCACACUUUGUUAGCAUCUUUAGGAUUGACAAAAACUUUCUGGUUGCAUCAUAUACAACUCUUCUUUAAUAAAUCCAUUAAGGAAUGCAGUUUUGACAUCCAUUUGCCAGAUUUCAUAAAAUGUGGAAAUUGCUAACAUGAUUCAGACAGACUUAAGCUUCGAUACGAGUGAGAAAAUCUCAUCGUAUUCAACACCUUGAACUUGUUGAAAACAUUUCGCAACAAGUCGAGCUUAGUAGAUAGUAACACUACUAUCAAUGUCCGUCUUCCUCUUGAAGAUCCAUUUAUUUAACAUGGCUUGCUGAUCAUCGAGCAAGUCAAUCAAAGUCCAUACUUUGUUCUCAUACAUGGAUCAUAUCUCAGAUUUUAUGGCCUCAAGCCAUUUCGUGGAAUCUGGGCUCAUCAUAGCUUCCUCAUAGCUCAUAGGUUCAUCAUGGUCUAGUAACAUGACUUCCAGAACAGGAUUACCGUACCACUCUGGUGCGGAUCUUACUCUAGAAGACCUACGAGGUUCUGUAGUAACUUAAUCUGAAGUUUCAUGAUCAUCAUCAUUAACUUCCUCACUAAUUGGUGUAGUAGUCACAGGAACAGAUUUCUGUGAUGAACUACUUUCCAAUAAGGGAGCAGGUACAGUUACCUCAUCAAGUUCUACUUUCCUCCCACUCACUUCUUUCGAGAGAAACUCCUUCUCUAGAAAGGAUCCAUUCUUAGCAAUGAAUAACUUGCCUUCCGAUCUGUGAUAGAAGGUGUACCCAAUAGUUAACUUUGGGUAUUCUAUGAAGACGCACUUCUCCGAUUUGGGUUUGAGCUUAUCAGGUUGAAACUUUUUUCAUAUAAGCAUCGCAACUCCAAACUUUUAAGAAACGACAUCUUAAGUUUACUUCUAAACCAUAGUUCAUACGAUGUCGUCUCAACGGAUUUAGAUGGUGCCCUUUUAACGUGAAUGCAGCUGUCUCUAAUGCACAACCCCAAAACGAUAGUGGUAAAACCGAUAAGAGACAUCAUAGAUCGCACCAUAUCCAAUAAAGUGCGGUUACGACGUUCGGACACACCAUAACGUUGUGGUGUUCCAGGUGGCGUGAGCUGUGAAACUAUUCCACAUUGUUUUAACUAAAGACCAAACUCGUAGCUCAAAUAUUCGUCUCCGCGAUCAGAUCGUAGAAACUUUAUAUUUUCUUGUUAUGAUGAUUUUUCCACUUCACUCUGAAAUUCUUUGAACCUUUCAAUUAUUUCAGACUUAUGUUUCAUCAAGUAGAUAUACCCAUAUCUACUCAAAUCAUUUUGUGAAGGUCAGAAAAUAAUGAUACUUGCCACGAGCAUCAACACUCAUUGGAUCGCAUACAUCGGUAUGUAUUAUUUCCAAUAAGUCAGCAGCUUGUUCCAUUGUUCCGGAGAACGGAGUUUUUAGUCAUCUUGCCCAAAAGGCACGGUUCGCAAGCAUCAAAUGAUUCAUAACCAAGUGAUUCCGAAAAUCCAUCUUUAUGGAGUUUCUUCAUGCGCUUUACACUGAUAUGACCCAAACGGCAGUGCCACAAAUAAGUUGCACUAUCAUUAUCAACUUUGCAUCUUUUGACAUCAAUAUUAUGAAUAUGUGUAUCACUACGACCGAGAUCCAACAAACUAUUUUUGUUGGGUGUAUGACCAUCAAAGGUUUUAUUCAUUUAAACAGAACAACAAUUAUUCUCCGAUUUUAAAUGAAUAACCGUAUUGCAAUAAACAUGAUCAAAUCAUAUUCAUGCUCAACGCAAACACCAAAUAACAUUUAUUUAGGUUCAACACUAAUCUCGAAAGUAUAGGGAGUGUGCGAUGAUGAUCAUAUCAAUCUUGGAACCACUUCCAACAUACAUCGUCACUUCACCCUCAACUAGUUUCUGUUUAUUCUGUAACUCCUGUUUCGAGUUACUAAUCUUAGCAACCGAACAAGUAUCAAAUACUCAGGGGUUACUAUAAACACUAGUAAGGUACACAUCAAUAACAUGUACAUCAAAUAUACCCUUGUUCACUUUGCCAUCCUUCUUAUCCACCAAAUAUUCAAGGCAUUUCCGCUUCUAGUGACCAUUUCCUUUGUAGUGUAAGCACUCAGUUUCAGGCUUUGGUUCAGCUUUGGGCUUCUUCAUGGGAGUGAAAACUUGCUUGUCAUUCUACUUGAAGUUCCCCUUUCUUUCCCUUUGCCCUUUUUCUUGAAACUAGUGAUCUUGUCAACCAUCAACACUUGAUGCUCUUUCUUGAUUUCUAACUUCAUUGAUUUCAACAUCACGAAGCGCUCGGGAAUCAUUUUCGUCAUCCCUUGCAUACUAUAGUUCAUCACAAAGUUCUACUAACUUGGUGAUGGUGACUAGAGAAUUCUGUCAAUCACUAUCUUAUCUGGAAGAUUAACUCCCACUUGAUUCAAGCGAUUGAAGUACCCAGACAAUCUGAGCACAUGCUCACUAGUUGAGCGAUUCUCCUCCAUCUUUUAGCUAUAGAACUUGUUGGAGACUUCAUAUCUCUCAACUCGGGUAUUUGCUGGAAAUAUUAACUUCAACUCUUGGAACAUCUCAUAUGGUCCAUGACAUUCAAAACGUCUUUGAAGUCCCGAUUCUAAGCCCUUAAGCAUGGUGCACUAAACUAUCAAGUAGUCAUCAUAUUGAGCUAGCCAAACGUUCAUAACGUCUGCAUCUGCUCCUGCAAUAGGUCUAUCACCUAGUGGUGCAUUAAGGACAUAAUUCUUCUGUGUAGCAAUGAGGAUAAACCUCAGAUCACGGAUCCAAUCCGCAUCAUUGCUACUAACAUCUUUCAACACUAUUUUCUCUAGGAACAUAUUGAAAUAAACAUAUGAAAGCAACAACACAAGCUAUUGAUCUACAACAUAAUUUGCAAAAUACUACCAGGACUAAGUUCAUGAUAAAUUUAAGUUCAAUUAAUCAUAUUACUUAAGAACUCCCACUUAGACAGACAUCUCUCUAGUCAUCUAAGUGAUCACGUGAUCCAAAUCAACUAAACCAUGUCCGAUCAUCACGUGAGAUGGAGUAGUUUCAAUGGUGAACAUCAUUAUGUUGAUCAUAUCUACUAUAUGAUUCACGCUCGACCUUUCGGUCUCCGUGUUCCGAGGCCAUAUCUGUAUAUGCUAGGCUCGUCAAGUUUAACCCGAGUAUUCUGCGUGUGCAACUGUUUUGCACCCGUUGUAUUUGAACGUAGAGCCUAUCACACCCGAUCAUCACGUGGUGUCUCAGCACGAAGAACUUUCGCAACGGUGCAUACUCAGGGAGAACACUUCUUGAUAAUUAGUGAGAGAUCAUCUUAUAAUGCUACCGUCAAACAAAACAGAAUAAGAUGUAUAAUAGAUAAACAUCAUAUGCAAUCAAAAUAUGUGACAUGAUAUGGCCAUGAUCAUCUUGCGCCUUUUGUUCUCCAUCUCCAAAGUACUAUCAUGAUCUCCAUCGUUACCGGCACGACACCAUGAUCUUCAUCAUCUUGAUCUAUAUCAAUGUGUCGUCACAUGGUCGUCUCGCCAGCUAUUGCUCUUGCAACUAUUGCUAUCGCAUAGCGAUAAACUGAAGCAAUUAUUUGGCACUUGCAUCUUAUGCAACAAAGAGACAACCAUAGGGCUUCUGCCAGUUGCCGAUAACUUCAACAAAACAUGAUCAUCUCAUACAACAACUUAUAUCUCAUCACGUCUUGACCAUAUCACAUCACAACAUGCCCUGCAAAAACAAGUUAGACGUCUUCUACUUUGUUGUUGCAAAUUUUACGUGGCUGCUACGGGCUGAGCAAGAACCGUUCUUACCUACGCAUCAAAACCACAACGAUAGUUCGUCAAGUUAGUGUUGUUUUAACCUUGGCAAGGACCGGGCGUAGCCACACUCGGUUCAACUAAAGUGAGAGAAACAGACACCCGCCAGCCACCUUUAAGCACGAGUGCUCGCAAUGGUGAAACCAGUCUCGCGUAAGCGUACGCGUAAUGUCGGUCCGGGCUGCUUCAUCUCAUAAUAUCGCCGAACCAAAGUAUGACAUGCUGGUAAGCAGUAUGACUUGUAUCACCCACAACUCACUUGUGUUCUACUCGUGCAUAUGACAUCUACGCAUAAAACCAAGGCUCGGAUGCCACUGUUGGGGAACGUAGUAAUUUCAAAAAAUUUCCAACAUUCACGCAAGAUCAUGGUGAUGGCAUAGCAACGAGAGGAGAGAGUGUUGUCCACGUACCCUCGUAGACCAUAAGCGGAAGCGUUAUGACAACGCGGUUGAUGUAGUCGUACGUCUUCAUGAUUCGACCGAUCCAAGUACCAAACGUACGGCACCUCCGAGUUCAGCACACGUUCAGCUCGAUGACGAUCCCCGGGCUCCGAUCCAGCAAAGCUUCGGGGAUGAGUUCCGUCAGCACGACGGUGUGGUGACGAUGAUGAUGCUCUACCGGCGCAGGGCUUCGCCUAAACUCCGCGACGAUAUGACCGAGGUGGAAUAUGGUGGAGGGGGGCACCGCACAUGGCUAAGGAACGAUCCGUAGAUCAGCUUGUGUGUCUAUGGGGUGCCCCCCCGCCCCCGUAUAUAAAGGAGCCAGGGGGGAGGAGGCGGCCGGCCAAGGAGGGCGCGCCAAGGGGGGAGUCCUACUCCCACCGGGAGUAGGACUCCCUUCUUUCCUAGUUGAAAUAGGAGAAGGGGGGAAAGAGGAGGAAGAGGGGAAGGAAAGGGGGGGCGCCGCCCCCCUUCCCUUGUCCUAUUCGGACUAGGAAGGGGAGGGGCGCGCGGCCCCCUCCUGCCUCCUUCCCUCUUCUCCCUCGAGGCCCAUGUAGGCCCAAUAACCCCCCGGGGGGUUCCGGUAACCUCCCGGUACUCCGGUAAAAUGCCGAUUUCACCCGGAACGAUUCCGAUGUCCAAAUAUAGGCUUCCAAUAUAUCGAUCUUUAUGUCUUGACCAUUUCGAGACUCCUCGUUACGUCCGUGAUCACAUCCGGGACUCCGAACAAACUUCGGUACAUCAAAACUUAUAAACUCGUAAUAAAACUGUCAUCGUAACGUUAAGCGUGCGGACCCUACGGGUUCGAGAACUAUGUAGACAUGACCUAGAACUAUUCUCGGUCAAUAACCAAUAGCGGAACCUGGAUGCCCAUAUUGGUUCCUACAUAUUCUACGAAGAUCUUUAUCGGUCAAACCGCAUAACAACAUACGUUCUUCCCUUUGUCAUCGGUAUGUUACUUGCCCGAGAUUUGAUCGUCGGUAUCCAAUACCUAGUUCAAUCUCGUUACUGGCAAGUCUCUUUACUCAUUCCGUAAUGCAUAAUUCCAUAACCAACUCAUUUGGUCACAUUGCUUUCAAGGCUUAUAAAGAUGUGCAUUACCGAGAGGGCCCAGAGAUACCUCUCCGACAAUCGGAGUGACAAAACCUAAUCUCAAAAUACGCCAACUCAACAUGUACCUUCGGAGACACCUGUAGUACUCCUUUAUAAUCACCCAGUUAUGUUGUGACGUUUGGUAGUACCCAAAGUGUUCCUCCGGUAAACAGGAGUUGCAUAAUCUCAUAGUUACAGGAACAUGUAUAAGUCAUGAAGAAAACAAUAGCAACAUACUAAACGAUCAAGUGCUAGGCUAACGGAAUGGGUCAUGUCAAUCACAUUAUUCUCCUAAUGAUGUGAUCCCAUUAAUCAAAUGACAACACAUGUCUAUGGUUACGAAACAUAACCAUCUUUGAUUAAUGAGCUAGUCAAGUAGAGGCAUACUAGUGACUAUAUGUUUGUCUACGUAUUCACACAUGUAUCAUGUUUCCGGUUAAUACAAUUCUAGCAUGAAUAAUAAACAUUUAUCAUGAAAUAAGGAAAUAAAUAAUAACUUUACUAUUGCCUCUAGGGCAUAUUUCCUUCAGCGCCGGCCCUAGGAGAUGGGAUCUCCUAGGGGGGGCGGCGGCCAAGGGAGGUGCCUUGCCCCCCAAGGCAAGUGGAGGCACCCCCACCCUAGGGUUUCCAACCCUAGGCAUAGGGGGGCCCAAGGGGGGGCGCACCAGCCCACCUGGGGCUGGUUCCCCUCCCACUUCAGCCCAUGGGGCCCUCCAGGAUAGGUGGCCCAACCCGGUGGACCCCCGGGACCCUUCCGGUGGUCCCGGUAUAAUACCGGUGACCCCCAAAACUUUCCCGAUGGCCGAAACUCGACUUACUAUAUAUAAUUCUUUACCUCCGAACCAUUCUAGAACUCCUCGUGACGUCUGAGAUCUCAUCCGAGACUCCGAACAACUUUUGGUUUACUGCAUACUCAUAUCUCUACAACCCUAGCAUCACCGAACCUUAAGUGUGUAGACCCUACGGGUUCGGGAGACAUGCAGACAUGACCGAGACGCCUCUCCAAUCAAUAACCAACAGCGGGAUCUGGAUACCCAUGUUGGCUCCCACAUGCUCCUCGAUGAUCUAAUCGUAUGAACCACGAUGUCGAGGAAUCAAACAACCCCGUAUACAAUUCCCUUUGUCAAUCGGUACGUUACUUGCCCGAGACUCGGUCGUCGGUAUCCCAAUACCUCGUUUAAUCUCGUUACCGGCAAGUCACUUUACUCGUACCGUAAUGCAUGAUCCCGUGAACAGACACUUGGUCUCAUUGAGCUCAUUAUGAUGAUGCAUUACCGAGUGGGCCCAGAGAUACCUCUCCGUCAUACGGAGUGACAAAUCCUAGUCUCGAUUCGUGCCAACCCAACAGACACUUUCGGAGAUACCCGUAGUGCACCUUUAUAGUCACACAGUUACGUUGUGACGUUUGGCACACCCAAAGCACUCCUACGGUAUCCGGGAGUUGCACAAUCUCAUGGUCUAAGGAAAUGAUACUUGACAUUUGGAAAAGCUCUAGCUAAACGAACUACACGAUCUUUGAGCUAUGCUUAGGAUUGGGUCUUGUCCAUCACAUCAUUCUCCUAAUGAUGUGAUCCCGUUAUCAAUGACAUCCAAUGUCCAUAGUUAGGAAACCAUGACUAUCUGUUGAUCAACGAUCUAGUCAACUAGAGGCUCACUAGGGACAUGUUGUGGUCUAUGUAUUCACACGUGUAUUACGAUUUCCGGAUAAUACAAUUAUAGCAUGAAUAACAGACAAUUAUCAUGAACAAAGAAAUAUAAUAAUAACCAUUUUAUUAUUGCCUCUAGGGCAUAUUUCCAAUAGUCUCCCACUUGCACUAGAGUUCAAUAAUCUAGUUACAUUGUGAUGAAUCGAACACCCAUGGAAUUCUGGUGUUGAUCAUGUUUUGCCCUAAGGAGAGGUUUAGUCAAUGGACCUGCCACAUUCAGGUCCGUAUGUACUUUACAAAUAUCUAUGUCUCCAUCUUGAACAUUUUCACGAAUGGAGUUAAAGCAACGCUUGAUGUGCCUGGUCUUCUUGUGAAACCUGGGCUCCUUGGCAAGUGCAAUAGCUCCAGUGUUGUCACAGAAGAGUUUGAUUGGCCCCGACGCAUUGGGUAUGACUCCUAGGUCGGUGAUGAACUCCUUCACCCAGAUUGCUUCAUGCGCUGCUUUCGAGGCUGCCAUGUACUCCGCUUCACAUGUAGAUCCCGCCACGACGCUUUGCUUGCAACUGCACCAGCUUACUGCCCCACCAUUCAGAAUAUACACGUAUCCGGUUUGUGACUUCGAGUCAUCCAGAUCUGUGUCGAAGCUAGCAUCGAUGUAACCCUUUACGACAAGCUCUUCGUCACCUCCAUAGACGAGAAACAUGUCCUUUGUCCUUUUCAGGUACUUCAGGAUAUUCUUGACCGUUGUCCAGUGUUCCUUGCCGGGAUUACUUUGGUACCUUCCUACCAAACUUACGGCAAGGUUUACAUCAGGUCUGGUACACAGCAUGGCAUACAUAAUAGAUCCUAUGGCUGAGGCAUAGGGGAUGACACUCAUCUCUUCUUUAUCUUCUGCCGUGGUCGGGCAUUGAGCCGACCUCAAUCUCACACCUUGCAAUACAGGCAAGAACCCUUUCUUGGACUAAUCCAUAUUGAACUUCUUUAAUAUCUUAUCAAGGUAUGUGCUUUGUGAAAGACCUAUGAGGCGUCUCGAUCUAUCCCUAUAGAUCUUGAUGCCUAAUAUGUAAGCAGCUUCUCCAAGGUCCUUCAUUGAAAAACACUUAUUCAAGUAGGCCUUAAUGCUGUCCAAAAGUUCUGUAUCAAUUCCCAUCAAAAGUAUGUCAUCUACAUAUAAUAUGAGAAAUGCUACAGAGCUCCCACUCACUUUCUUGUAAACGCAGGCUUCUCCAUAAGUCUGCAUAAACCCAAACGCUUUGAUCAUCUCAUCAAAGCGAAUGUUCCAACUCCGAGAUGCUUGCACCAGCCCAUAAAUGGAUCGCUGGAGCUUGCAUACCUUGUUAGCAUUCUUAGGAUCGACAAAACCUUCCGGUUGCAUCAUAUAUAGUUCUUCCUUAAGAUAACCGUUAAGGAAUGCCGUUUUGACGUCCAUCUGCCAUAUCUCAUAAUCAUAGUAUGCGGCAAUUGCUAACAUGAUUCGGAUGGGCUUCAGCUUCGCUACGGGAGAGAAAGUCUCAUCGUAGUCAACCCCUUGAACUUGCCGAUAACCCUUAGCGACAAGUCAAGCUUUAUAGAUGGUAACAUUACCAUCCAUGUCCGUCUUCUUCUUAAAGAUCCAUUUGUUUUCUAUCGCUCGCCGAUCAUCGGGCAAGUCUGUAAAAGUCCAUACUUUGUUUUCAUACAUGGAUUCUAUCUCGGAUUGCAUGGCUUCAAGCCAUUUGUUGGAAUCUGGGCCCGCCAUCGCUUCUUCAUAGUUCGAAGGUUCAUCGUUGUCUAACAACAUGAUCUCCAGGACAGGGUUGCCAUACCACUCUGGUGUGGAACGUGUCCUUGUGGACCUACGAAGUUCAGUAGCAACUUGAUCCGAAGUACCUUGAUCAUCAUCAUUAAUUUCCUCUCCAGUCAGUGUAGGCACCACAUGAUCAUCUUCCUGAGCUGAGCUACUUACCGGUUCAAGAGGUAGUACUUCAUCAAGUUCCACUUUCCUCCCGCUUACUUCUCUCGAGAGAAACUCUUUCUCCAGAAAGGACCCGUUCUUGGCAACAAAGAUCUUGCCUUCGGAUCUAAGGUAGAAGGUAUACCCAAUGGUUUCCUUAGGGUAUCCUAUGAAGACGCAUUUUUCCGACUUGGGUUCGAGCUUUUCAGGUUGAAGUUUCUUGACAUAAGCAUCGCAUCCCCAAACUUUCAGAAACGAUAGCUUAGGUUUCUUCCCAAACCAUAAUUCAUACGGUGUCGUCUCAACGGAUUUAGACGGUGCCCUAUUUAAAGUGAAUGUAGCUGUCUCUAGAGCGUAUCCCCAAAAAGAUAGCGGUAAAUCGGUAAGAGACAUCAUAGAUCGCACCAUAUCCAAUAAAGUGCGAUUACGACGUUCGGACACACCGUUACGCUGAGGUGUUCCAGGCGGCGUGAGUUGUGAAACGAUUCCACAUUUCCUUAAGUGCGUACCAAAUUCAUGACUUAAAUAUUCUCCUCCAUGAUCUGAUUGUAAGAACUUUAUUUUUCGGUCACAUUGAUUCUCUACCUCAUUCUGAAACUCCUUGAACUUUUCAAAGGUCUCAGACUUGUGUUUCAUCAAGUAGACAUACCCAUAUCUACUCAAGUCAUCAGUGAGAGUGAGAACAUAACGAUAUCCUACACGAGCCUCAACGCUCAUUGGACCGCACACAUCAGUAUGUAUGGUUGCUCGCUCCAUUGUUCCGGAGAACGGAGUCUUGGUCAUUUUGCCCAUGAGACAUGGUUCGCAUGUGUCAAAUGAUUCAUAAUCAAGAGACUCUAAAAGUCCAUCGGCAUGGAGCUUCUUCAUGUGCUUGACACCAAUGUGACCAAGGCGGCAAUGCCACAAGUAUGUGGGACUAUCGUUAUCAACUUUACAUCUUUUGGUAUUCACACCAUGAAUAUGUGUAACAUCACGUUUGAGAUUCAUUAAGAAUAAACCAUUGACCAUCGGGGCAUGACCAUAAAACAUAUCUCUCAUAUAAAUAGAACAACCAUUAUUCUCGGAUUUAAAUGAGUAGCCAUCUCGUAUUAAACGAGAUCUAGAUACAAUGUUCAUGCUCAAAGUUGGCACUAAAUAACAAUUAUUGAGGUUUAAAACUAAUCCCGUAGGUAAAUGUAGAGGUAGCGUGCCGACGGCUAUCACAUCGACCCUGGAACCAUUCCCGACGCGCAUCGUCACCUCGUCCUUCGCUAGUCUCUGCUUAUUCCGCAGCUCCUGCUGUGAGUUACAAAUAUGAGCAACGGCACUGGUAUCAAAUACCCAGGAGCUACUACGAGCACUAGUAAGGUACACAUCAAUUACAUGUAUAUCACAUAUACCUUUAGUGUUGCCGGCCUUCUUGUCCGCUAAGUAUUUGGGGCAGUUCCGCUUCCAGUGACCCUUCCCUUUGCAAUAAAAGCACUCAGUCUCAGGCUUGGGUCCAUUCUUUGACUUCUUCCCGGCAGCUGGCUUACCAGGAGCGGAAACUUCCUUGUCGUCCUUCUUGAAGUUCUUAUUACCCUUGCCUUUCUUGAACUUAGUGGUUUUAUUCACCAUCAACACUUGAUGUUCCUUUUUGAUCUCUACUUCUGCUGAUUUCAGCAUUGAAUAUACUUCAGGAAUGGUCUUUUCCAUCCCCUGCAUAUUGAAGUUCAUCACAAAGCUCUUGUAGCUUGGUGGAAGCGACUGAAGGACUCUGUCAAUAACUGCGUCAUCCGGGAGAUUAACUCCCAGCUGAGUCAAGCGCUUGUGCAACCCAGACAUUUUGAGUAUGUGCUCACUGACAGAACUAUUUUCCUCCAUCUUACAGCUGAAGAACUUGUCGGAGACUUCAUAUCUCUCGACCCAGGCAUGAGCUUGGAAAACCAUUUUCAGCUCUUCGAACAUCUCAUAUGCUCCGUGUUGCUCAAAAUGCUUUUGGAGCCCCGGUUCUAAGCUGUAAAGCAUGCCACACUGAACGAGGGAGUAAUCAUCAGCACAAGACUGCCAAGCGUUCAUGACGUCUUGGUUCUCUGGGAUGGGAGCUUCACCUAGCGGUGCUUCUAAGACAUAAUCUUUCUUUGCAGCUAUGAGGAUGAUCCUCAGGUUCCGGACCCAGUCCGUAUAGUUGCUGCCAUCAUCUUUCAGCUUGGUUUUCUCUAGGAACGCGUUGAAGUUGAGGUGGACAUGAGCAUUGGCCAUUUGAUCUACAAGACAUAUUUGCAAAGGUUUUUAGACUAAGUUCAUGAUAAUUAAGUUCAUCUAAUCAAAUUAUUUAAUGAACUCCCACUUAGAUUAGACAUCCCUCUAGUCAUCUAAGUGAUACAUGAUCCGAGUCGACUAGGCCGUGUCCAAUCAUCAUGUGAGACGGACUAGUCAUCAUCGGUGAACAUCUCCAUGUUGAUCGUAUCUUCCAUACGACUCGUGUUCGACCUUUCGGUCUCUUGUGUUCCGAGGCCAUGUCUGUACAUGCUAGGCUCGUCGAGUUAACCUAAGUGUUUUGCAUGUGUAAAUCUGUCUUACACCCAUUGUAUGUGAACGUUAGAAUCUAUCACACCCGAUCAUCACGUGGUGCUUCGAAACGACAAACUUUCGCAACGGUGCACAGUUAGGGGGAACACUUUCUUGAAAUUAUUAUGAGGGAUCAUCUUAUUUACUACCGUCGUUCUAAGUAAACAAGAUGCAUAAACAUAAUAAACAUCACAUGCAAUUAAACAGUGACAUGAUAUGGCCAAUAUCAUAUAGCUCCUUUGAUCUCCAUCUUCGGGGCUCCAUGAUCAUCUUCGUCACCGGCAUGACACCAUGAUCUCCAUCAUCAUGAUCUCCAUCAUCGUGUCUCCACGAAGUUGCUCGCCAACUAUUACUUCUACUACUAUGGCUAAUGGUUUAGCAAUAAAGUAAAGUAAUUACAUGGCGUUAAAUCAUUGACACGCAGGUCAUACAAUAAUUAAGACAACUCCUAUGGCUCCUGCCGGUUGUCAUACUCAUCGACAUGCAAGUCGUGAUUCCUAUUACAAGAACAUGAUCUCAUACAUCACAUAUAUAUCAUUCAUCAUUCGUCACAACUUUUGGCCAUAUCACAUCACAAAUCAUAUGCUGCAAAAACAAGUUAGACGUCCUCUAAUUGUUGUUGCAUGUUUUACGUGGCUGCAAUAGGGUUCUAGCAAGAACGUUUGCUUACCUACGUAAAAGCCACAACGUGAUUUGUUAACUUCUAUUUACCCUUCAUAAGGACCCUUUUCAUCGAAUCCGCUCCAACUUAAGUGGGAGAGACAGACACCCGCUAGCCACCUUAUGCAACUAGUGCAUGUCAGUCGGUGGAACCUGUCUCACGUAAGCGUACGUGUAAGGUCGGUCCGGGCCGCUUCAUACCACAAUACCGCUGAAGCAAAAUAAGACUAGUAGUGGCAAGAAAGUUGACAACAUCUAUGCCCACAACAAAUUUGUGUUCUACUCGUGCAAAGAGAACUACGCAUAGACCUAGCUCAUGAUGCCACUGAUGGGGAAGUUGCACAAAAUAAAAAUUUUCCUACGGUUUCACCAAGAUCAAUCUAUGAGUUCAUCUAGCAACGAGAGAGAGGAGUGCAUCUACAUACCCUUGUAGAUCGAGCGUAAGCGUUCAAGGGAACGGGGUUGAGGGAGUCGUACUCGUCGUGAUCCAAAUCACCGGAGAUCCUAGCGCCGAACGGACGGCACCUCCGCGUUCAGCACACGUACGGUCAGGGAGACGUCUCCUCCUUCUUGAUCCAACAAGGGGGAAGGAGAGGUUGAUGAAGAUCCUGCAACACGACGGCUUGGUGGUGGAUGCAGCAGGGAUCCCGGCAGGGCUUUGCCAAGCGUCUGUGAGAGGGAGAGGUGUAGCAAGGGGGAAGGGAGGCACCAAGUGCAUGGGUGCGGCUGCCCUCCCUCCUCCCCUCUUUAUAUAGGGCCCCUAGGGGGGGCGCCGGCCCUAGGAGAUGGGAUCUCCUAGGGGGGGGGCGGCGGCCAAGGGGGGUGCCUUGCCCCCCAAGGCAAGUGGAGGCGCCCCCCACCCUAGGGUUUCCAGCCCUAGGCGCAGGGGGGGUCCAAGGGGGGCGCACCAGCCCACCUGGGGCUGGUUCCCCUCCCACUUCAGCCCAUGGGGCCCUCCGGGAUAGUUGGCCCCACCCGGUGGACCCCCGGGACCCUUUCGGUGGUCUCGGUACAAUACCGGUGACCCCCGAAACUUUCCCCGAAACUCGACAUCCUAUAUAUAAUUCUUUACCUUCGGACCAUUCCGGAACUCCUCGUGAUGUCCGAGAUCUCAUCCGGGACUCCUAACAACUUUCGGUUUACUGCAUACUCAUAUCUCUACAACCCUAGCGUCACCGAACCUUAAGUGUGUAGACCCUACGGGUUCGGGAGACAUGCAGACAUGACCGAGACGCCUCUCCGGUCAAUAACCAACAGCGGGAUCUGGAUACCCAUGUUAGCUCCCACAUGCUCCUCGAUGAUCCCAUUGGAUGAACCACGAUGUUGAGGAUUCAAACAACCCCGUAUACAAUUCCCUUUGUCAAUCGGUAUGUUACUUGCCCGAGACUCGAUCGUCGGUAUCCCAAUACCUCGUUUAAACUCAUUAUCGGCAACUCACUUUACUCGUACCGUAAUGCAUGAUCUCGUGACCAGACACUUGGUCACAUUGAGCUCAUUAUGAUGAUGCAUUACUGAGUGGGCCCAGAGAUACCUCUCCGUCAUACGGAGUGACAAAUCCCAGUCUUGAUUCGUGCCAACCCAAUAGACACUUUCGGAGAUACCCGUAGUGCACCUUUAUAGUCACCCAGUUACGUUGUGACGUUUGGCAUACCCAAAGCACUCCUACGAUAUCCGGGAGUUGCACAAUCUCAUGGUAUAAGGAAAUGAUACUUGACAUUUGGAAAAGCUCUAGCUAAACGAACUACACGAUCUUUGAGCUAUGCUUAGGAUUGGGUCUUGUCCAUCACAUCAUUCUCCUAAUGAUGUGAUCCCAUUAUCAAUGACAUCCAAUGUCCAUAGUUAGGAAACCAUGACUAUCUGUUGAUCAAUGAGCUAGUCAACUAGAGGUCACUAGGGACAUGUUGUGGUCUAUGUAUUCACACGUGUAUUACGAUUUCCGGAUAAUACAAUUAUAGCAUGAAUAACAGACAAUUAUCAUGAACAAAGAAAUAUAAUAAUAACCAUUUUAUUAUUGCCUAUAGGGCAUAUUUCCAACAAGAACCUCUUGUAAAAGAUUGCAUGCAAUCCAUCUGGACCGGGCGCUUUAAGAUCGCCGAUACUAAACAAUGCCUUUUUCACCUCCUCAGCCGUAUACGGUGCAAGCAAUGCUUCAUUCAUAUAAUCCGAAACUCUAGUUUUCACUUUAUUCAAAACAUCCAUGUUUGGGUGUACAACUUCAGAAGUAAACAACGACUUAAAAUAAUCAGAAAUUAGGUUUCCCAUGGAUACUACAUCUUCCUUCCACUCACCAUCAUCUCCAAGUAGUUUCUGGAUCUGAUUCCUUCUUCUUCUGGCCGUCGCGAAGUUGUUAAAGAAGCUUGUGUUUGGAUCCCCAUACUUCAGCCAGUUGGCACGGCUCCGUUGCACCCAAUAUAGUUCCUCCUUCUCUAGAGUUUCUUCAAUGAGGAUAAGAAUUUCUCGUUGCCGGUCUGCCGCCUCCUCAGUAAGGGGUCCCGACCGCAAGCUUUCAAGCUCCACCUUAAGUUUCUUCAGACGACGUUGUGGCGCACACAACACCGUCAUGUCCCAUGGUGCAACUCCUUGUGCACUGCUGUUGUUCGCGCCGUGAACGAGUUUUGUUCAUUCGUGUUCUCUCAGGCAUCAGUGACCCACUGCGCAACAUCAUUUUCCUGCAACCAUCUUGCCUCAAAGCGACGGGUUCCAUCAGUAGGGCGAUGGACAACACUACUAUCCCCUUCCAAAUCCAAGACCAAAGGACGAUGGACCGAUUUAGAGUGUUCAUCAUUGGUGAUGGUCGCAUCUGGGAAUAGAGCAUGGAAAGCUCCAUUACAUAUACCUCUGUCCAAUCUUUCUCUCAGUCUCCUCCGUCUCCAUGUAAACAUUUCACCCUUAAAUCCCAUGUCAUCAAGCUGGCAAUCCACCAACGCAUCUCUGAAAUUUUUCAUCAUUUGGGUUGGUCUUGGAGCCCCUCCUUCUUUCUCAUGUGAAUAUAAGAUUUCAUUAAAAUCAUCAAUGACCACCCAUGGUCCAUUCAUCUGCGGCCUUAGAGAUCUCAAGUACUCCCAAGAUAGAUGUUUGUCCUCCCACUUGGGCUCACCAUAGAACCCAGUCAAUCUCCACAUAGCUUCUCCAGGGCCAUCUAUAGCCACAUCAAUGUAGUUUUUUUAUACACUCAGGGCUUGUAUCACAACCGGGUUGCGCCAAGUUAACAACAACCCCCCACUAGGACCGUCAGUUUCAUAAACUUCCAUCCUAUCCAUCGACAGUUUCCUCAUCAAUUUUUUUGCCUUUGCUUUAUACAGAUGUGUCUCGGACAGGAAGAUCACAUCCGGGCCCCAUUGCUUCUGAAUGUCCAGAAGCGCUCGAACUGCCGUGGUGCUGGCCAUCCCACGGCAGUUCCAACAUAGAGUUUUCAUUGUGCCCGGCGAUCCCUUUCAUGAGGGGUCGCCGAUCCCAUGUCAGUAUCCUUGUUUCCUUCUGUUAAGGUCAUAGUUUCCCCUUCCGCAGUUCUCUAUCUCUUUUGAUCCUGCACCUUUUGUGGUGUAGUCAUCAAGCUCUUGUCCACCUGUAAACUCAGUGUUAUUCUAGCUGCAGAACUCGCCCAGCCACAACACCUGUUGAGGAAGAUGACCCCUCAUUAUGUUUUAUGAAAGUGCCAUCCGGUCCAACCAGUCUUUUCCUUGCUGUUGGCAUUGGCAUGCCCUGUCCCGUACCUCUGCCAAGAUUCAUCUCUCUUCCUUCUUCUGGGUUUGGGUCACCGGGGUUUCCUCUUCCCCUCCCCACUGCCCCUCCUCUCCAAGCAGUACCACCUCGGCCAAAACCCCCUCGGCCUCCACCACCAGACCGAGACUCAAAAUUUGCCAGGAGCCAUUCCCCCCACUCACAUUCUUCCUCCGCAUGUAUUCCAUCUCCACAUUCACUCACCACGUGUCCCAUCAUACCACAGAAAUAACAGAAACCAGGCAAUUUUUCAUACUCAACAGGAUAUUUCUUCAGUUCCUUCAAAGUUAGAGGCACAAAGCGGACCAGUGGUGUAUCGAGCCUUACAAACACCCUCGCCCGCAGAUACUUUGUGGGGUUUAAGAGGCCUUCAUUAACUACAACUUUGAUCGAUGGGACUCCGACCUUUCUAGCUAUCUUUUCAGCUACUUCUCUCUUCUUCAUCAGCCCAUCUGGGAUCCCGAUAAUCCUUGACUAGACCGGGAUCCUAUCAAGUUUAUAAUCAUCAGCAUUUGUGAUACCGUCAUACUCCUCAAUUACCACUCCAUACUCCCUAACAGCCACGGGCCGCCAUUCAUGACCCGAUUCCAAUCUCCCAAUCACAUAAACUGUGCCAAAAAUAGGUUAGGGUUCCUAGUUUUGAACGUCACACCCUGCGCCGGGAUCCAGGCGUUUCUCAUCGUCUUAAACAGGGCUACAUGACUAAAGUGUUUCUGAGUAUGAACCCUAAAGAUCGUUAUCCACCUUGUCUCCUUGAUUAAGUCUUCAACUCCCCGGAUAGAUCUAACUCUUCUUCUUCCUCACCAUGUAGCUUCAGACCUUGAAAUCUGUCCUCCAAACUCGCCUUGUAAUCGGAUGUGUACUCGCCUCCAUCGCCGCCGCCGCCAGCCCUAGAAGAUCCCGCGCCAGGCGGCUGGUCUCCUCUCUCAUCGGACAUGCCGGCGUUCGUUAGUGCGCCUAAGAUUGAUGGGAUCACGCUAGGAUCACUCGGCGAGCAACCUUGCGUGAGAAUUUCGUACGGGGUAAUUGGAUUUGUGGGAACCCUAGCGAGACCGCCAGGGGAAAAGGGGAACCCUAGCUUUCGCCAGGGGAAAAACAGAGCGAUGGGCAUAUUUCACGUUAAUAGUUACCAUCUAAACAACACAAUGUUACCAGAUUAUUUUCACACGUUUAUUUGUCAUAGCGAUGAUCUACAAGUCAGUAGUGAGUAUUCGAUCCACUCUGAGCACCAAAAAUACGUGAUUAGUAUCAGAAAAGGCUUACAUUGGUAAGCAGCAAAGUGAAAAAAAAAUCUGGCAACCAUUUGAUUUUAACCUGGUAAGCAACUUGACUAUACCUAGUGACCAAGUGAUUGUAAUCUGGCAACUAGUGUUGGGAAAAAAAAGUUAUCAGAACAUAUCAACAUAGGAUCUAGUUUUGAACAUCUCAUCAAAAAGCUAACCGUGAAAACGGAUCUGAAUUUCGACAUAGGGUUAAAGAGAUAAAACAUUUUAAAGUUCGGAAAUCAAAAGAAAUCCCAUGUGGCAGUUACUACAUGCAUGGAGUAUUUAACCAAAAACUACCACAUUUCAUGAAAACGUGUCCAGAAACUACUACUUUACAAAUUUAUGCCAAAAACAACCAUUUUUUUACUAACUCGUAGCAAACAAUUACCACUUUCGGAAAUGACCAGUUUAGAAGAACACCUUUAUGACAAGUGGGGCCCGCAGUCAGGGCUGACGUGGCAAGUCAACAAGCGCACGAGAUGACGGUGAGCACGCCCGGCGGGCAGCAUGCGGACGCGACCCACACACCCGGUGGCGAUGCCCAGAUCGGGCACUCCGACGGACCCACACUGCUCGACCGCACACGGCCACCCAGCGCUAGCUUGCUAGCACCAACGAGCAAGUAUGCAUGGCUUGGCGACCAGCCAGCGUGAGCACGUACGCACGACUUGGCGACCAGCCAGCGCGAGCAUGCGGCUCGGCGACCAGCGCGUGCUCGCGGCUUGUGCGCGGUUCGACGACUGCGCGAGCACCCACGGGAUGGCUGCGGUGGCCCGCCCGCACUUCUGCACGCGACAGCUACGGCGGCGAGCUCAGAUGCCGGCCCGCACGCGACCGCAACGACGACCAGCCCGCCCUCCCGCGCUCCCGCACGCGACGACGACCGGCCAGCGUCUCACGCCUGCUACGGCGCUGCCUCCGUCAUCCUCGACUCGGCAGCCUCUAGGUGGGCGACAUGGACAACACAAGUGCUCGCCGAGGGACACGAAGACGAGGUGUUCGUUGAAAUGGGCAAGAGAAUAUAGGAGGAGGAGGAGGAGGAAGAAGAAGAUAGAUACUGACGUGUGGGGCCCACUUGUCAUAACGAUCAACUUAACAGUAAAAAAAGGUGUUGACUUUCCUGCCACGUCAGCCCUGAUGGAUGGCCCCCACUUGUCAUAAACAUGUUUAAAUCUUCUAAACUGGUCAUUUUUCGAAAGUGAUAUUAGUUUUUUGUCAGUAAAAAAGUGAUUGUUUUUGGCAUAAAUUUAUAGAAUGAUAGUUUAUAGGCACGUUUUUAUGAAAUGUGGUAGUUUUUAAUUAAAUACUCGCAUGCAUGCAUGCAUGUAUUGCUAGGUUACCAUAUUAAAACCGUGCCCACGGGAAAGCUAAUCUAGGUCCUAAAUCGUGGUCGUGGGGAUAUAAAAUUCAGACGAUCUCGUUCCCAUCGGUCCUAAAUUUAUUACAGCUGCCUCUCCUCUAGUCCUCUCCGCGGCCGCUAGGGUUUGCUCUCCUCUCUGCCGCCCACAGCUGUUUAGCUUCCGGCGUCGGGCUCGUCGCCGUCUGGUAAGUGCUUCUCCUCAUACUUUUUUUUGUCUCUGCUGCUUCGCCCUCCCAAUCGACUGCCCCCCUUGUGCCCUUCCGGGUUCUGCCCUCCGGUCCUCAUCACUAAACUCGAAGUCGGCGUCCUGCCGUAUCAACUCCGCCGAUCCCCAUAGUCUUUCCGCCCGCCGCCGCCAGGUCGGGUUAGGCCCUUCGCCGUCUCAGAUCCCCCUCUCCUCACCUUAGUUUUUCCUCCUAGUUUCCGCCCCCGCGAGGUCGGAUUAGGCAGGCCCAUCGACGUCUCCUUUGGCAUAUCUUAUUAGUCGCCAACAGAACAAUAUAUUUUGUCUUUUUAUUAAGCAAACUACGCUUGGGGGUUAGCCACCUGAAUUCAUUCGUUUCUAUUAAAUGAAAAUUAUUUAUUUUAUCUAUUAUUAUGCAGGAGAUGAUGAUAUCCAACAAAAUGCAUGAUGUGCUUUUGCCAGUGUUCUCUCUGUUCAAGUUUCGUUUGGAUGCUCCACGUAUCCACAGUAUGUUCCUACUCAUUUUGAUGGGUCCAAUUGUGCGGAGCUUGUUAUUAUGCAUCUAUCUUUUUUCUAUCUUUUUUCAGAACUGUUCUAGACCAGAUUUUAUCUUCAGGAUACUAUGGCUGGAAUAAAAACAUGGUGACUAAAAAUUAUUAGAUUGACCUCUUGUGCACUCCAUAAUGAUCUUUUAGCAUUGAUUUUUUUUGGUAGGCUCCUCACCGCUGUCUUGUCCACCUCAUUGUGGAAUGUCGUAGUAAUUCUCAAAAGUUUGCACGGCAAGUAGCAUAUGAAGUAUCAAUGCUAAAGCAGGUUUCAAUAUUUUAUCAACAGUUAUGUGGCAUGGAAAUAGUUUCUUAUUGACUUCUUUCCUUUGAUUACUAUUCAUUGUGUACAGUUAAGUGGCAUGGAACUGAAACCAUACUUUGUUGUUGACUUGUUUCAUUGUGGACAGAUUUUCCUUGUUAAGUUGAGAUAUUAGCAUCUUACUAGAUCUUGAUUACUAUUCAUGUUAUGGUGUCUUUGGAUUUAUCUUAGCUCAGCAGGACAAAGUCAUGAAGGGUUCAUCCUUACACUAGUUUGAUGCCAGCUGCCUACAUUUACCAAUAUUUUUUAAUAUGGUUUAAGUUCAUGCAUAUCUGAUUUUAUGAGUUUCAGUAGGCGUCAUCAAGUCAUGGGCUGUGGCUUCAAUCCUCGGAUUUUUUGUUUGCAUGUGCUGUGCUGCUAUGAAGCAUUGUUUAGCAAACAAUGUUUUGGGAAUUUCUUCCCGUAUCCAGGUUUUUUUAUUAGUUAUAUUGUGUAUUUCUAAGAAUUAUGAGCAGCACUUUCUGGGUGGUGUUCACUUCAGUUAUGGUCAGGGUAGCUAAAUUUUUUAUGCUCCAAUAAAUGUCAUAGAUCUUUUUAGUGAACUUUUAAUGAUAAUAUUGUUAGUGGGUUCGUUUUUAGUUUAAUAGUUCAACUAAUCUGAUAUGCAUUGUUAUGCACAGCACGUGUUCCCACCCACAGAUGCUGCCUCCAUGCUUUUCAUUGCCGACACUGCAAUAUCUGGUUAGUAAUAGAAUAGAAGUUCUUUUGUUUGUGCCAAAUUACAUUUGCUGUUUGUUCUUCUGAAACUUGCAAUGGUUAUAGAUAUGUGGUUAGUAAUAGAAUAAAAGUAACAUCAGCUUCACUAUGACUUGUGCGUGCCAACUUCAUUUGGCAUAAUCACCUGUAUUUAUAGUGAGACCUCAGUAAAUUUUUUGCAUCAUUGCAGCUCUUUCUCUUGUUGGUCUACGAGGACGAAAUAGCAUUUAUCAGCAUUUUCUUAUUCUUGUUGAUCUAAGAGAACAUUCUAUCUUUUAUUUAUUCUUUAGUAUUAGUACUAGGGAAAAGUGCAGAUUUGAAACUAGAACGUUUCCAAUUCUUGAUCAGAUGCGCCCUGCUUGCUUGGCUGUUUUACUUGCUCGGUUGCUCUAUAUGGGAUCCAUGCCACUCUUUUGCUGUUGCCGGUAUGAUUAAAAAAAAUUGUGGCCCAAGGGGCCGAGACAGUAUGCACAAAGAAAAACAAAUUAUUUUGAAGUUUGAACUUCCUCUUGGAUUAACUAUUGUAUUAAAUUCUGCAUAUUGGAGCAGUUGCUGCAUCACUCAGCACAUAAUAUGGAUUUCUGUUUUUUGGUUCCAGGUAUAUGUGUUGCACUUGCCCUCUGUAUCGCUGUGCCAAGAGCUAGCAAGAACCAUUUCUUUAAUUACGCAUUUUUGCGAUACACUGUAUUUAUCAUCAUACUGAACUGGUUUCAAUCCACACAGGUGAGUUAUGCUACUUGAGUUGCACCUGAUAUUAUCUUGAAAAUAAAAUGCCUUGUUCUAUAUGCUCAUCUCAUCUUUUUUUUCAGGGUGGGGGGCAGCCUGCUGUACAAUACGUUGCUUGUGGCGUGAUUAGUUUUGUUGUUGUUCACUGUUUGUGGAAUGUAGAAGUAAAACAGGUAAGGUCGGUCCAUAUUGUUGUUUGUACUAUAGAUAUGCCUAUUGCCAGUCCCAAUUGUGUGGUGGUUGAUGACAUUCUGUAGUGACAUAUCCUAUUUGCUAAUAUCUCUUUUUUUCCUUGCUUGAGGGUGACAACAAUCAGCCGAUGAGUGAAGUGUGGGAUUGGAACAUGUAUGGAACCAAACUGAAGUUUCAUGGAUGGUUUAUUAACACUGCCAAUGAGGAUGGUGACGGAGGUGAGGAUGGUGACGGAGGUGAGGAUGAUGCUUCAUUUGCCUCGGAGCAUUCCGAUGAUGAAGAUUUGACUGGGUUGUCAAUUUUACGUGCGGUGCAAGUGUUGGCCAUUCGUGCAAACUUCCGUAUCAGCCGUAUGGACGCCCAUGACUGGUACCAAAGUUUUGUCAUCUAUAUGGCGCUCGAGGGGGAAGUACAAGAGGUAUACACUAGCUACCGUAUGAUAUAUCUACUACAUGAUUUAUGCCUCUUUACAUGCAUUAUAUAUUGUAAUAAAUUAAAAUCCUUCACAUUCAUGCUUUCAUGUGUAGGAAGGAAUGGAUUUGGUACUCAUUGGACCAUGUGGGAUACUACAUGCUUACGGUGCCUUUUGCUUGGAGGUUUUCACAGAAGACCUGGUUUUCACAGAAUACGAUGAGGGUUCUUCUACUGAUGAUGAGGGAUCUUGGGGCGGUCAUUUCCGCCGAGGCUGGAGUGUUAUUGAUCCUGAUGAAGUUGAGGAAUUCACACAAACCAUCUAUGGAGGCCUUGGCCGCAAGUUGGAGAUCACAUACUUGGUGAUUCCGGAAGUAGUUGAGACCUAUGUUGAGGUCAGGUUGAACCUCAAAGACUUCAGUUCGAGAAGCCGCUCUGUGUAUGGUAGCGUCCAGGCAAUUGCCAUUGACUAUGGGAGCAAAAGUGUCAAUCUCUUCAGUUUUGAAUGAGGCAGUAGCUUGUCCCUGCCCUGUGGUUCGACGUGCAUUCUUCCACUGGGACAACCCGCGAUUGCAUUGCCUAAAGGUAGCAAGUACAAACUCCACAUAGAGGUGGACCUAAGAGUAAUCACGACCUGUGACAGCCAAGAAGAGGACAAGAAUUUGAAAUUAUGUCUAGACUGCAGCCGUAGAAUUAGGAGUGAAGAACGUCUAGAGUUACCCCGUAGAAUUAGGACUCAAAAAAGAGAAUUCGAUGGUGAUCAAGUUGAAGUGAAGGUCAUCUGGGCCCUAGCAAAAUUCUUCUAGAUCCUCGAUAAAUUUGUCUAAGAAAGGAGCUAGAAGCGAAAUAAGUGAAGGAAGGCAUGUGCCACAUCUGGAACUUUGUCUAUGUUUGCCAGAUCAUAUUAUCUAUUUCCUUGUGUUCGAUCUAUUCAUGCCAUUUUAUUUGAACUGAACUUGGGUGAGUGGAAAACCAAGAAUAGUAAAAGAGUCUUUUCGUAUUCAUUAGUGAAUAUUUAUAUUCGGCAAUGUACUGUGAUUAGUAAUUCUAAUAAGUGCAAUUAUUUUAGAGAAGCACGAAGGGUCCAAUAAACCAGACCAGUAGGCAGGGAUCCAAGGGAACCGAAUACCUCAAUUUUAGCAUCAUCUUCCCGCUGUUAUCAAGAGUCCUUAAUUAAUGGCUAUAUAUUUUCCUCUAUUUUUGGUCAAACUCGAGUACACACAGCUAUUGCGGAUCCUUUGCGAGAUCAGGAUUUUGGAUUCAUAAUUUAGAAUCAAUCCAUGUUAGGUCAACAUCGAGACAGAGCAUCUCAGUGGGCUCUGUCAAGGAAGUGAAACAGGCAUUCCUAGGUUGAGGUUACCAUUGGAUUGACCCUCAAUCAGGCCUCUGAUUCCAAGGAGUUGAUUCAGCAAGUUCCCAGCGCUACUCCGCGGGAAGUCUAAUCGGAUCAAUCGGUGGUUCCGUAAUGAGUAGUCGAAUACACAUUGAGGGGGCCUUGCCCACACCUUCAUUCUUUUC
Molecule: long non-coding RNA, 42094 nt
Filed under: Triticum aestivum (bread wheat)
Lineage: Eukaryota; Viridiplantae; Streptophyta; Magnoliopsida; Poales; Poaceae
Description: long non-coding RNA (TAES_LNC007636)
Source: RNAcentral